GAUGAAGAACGCAGUGAAAUGCGAUAAGUAAUGUGAAUUGCAGACUUCAGUGAAUCAUCGAAUCUUUGAACGCACAUUGCGCCCGCCAGCACUCUGGCGGGCAUGCCUGUUCGAGCGUCAUUUCAACCAUCAAGCCCCCAGGGGCUUGUGCUGGGGCCCUGCGGCUGCCCGCAGGCCCUGAAAACCAGUGGCGGGCUCGCUAGUCACACCGAGCGCAGUAGCACAUCUCGCUCAGGGCGUGCGGCGGGCUCCUGCCGUGAAACCCCCCACUGUAACCCCAAAGGUUGACCUCGGAUCAGGUAGGAAUACCCGCUGAACUUAAGCAUAUCAAUAAGCGGAGGA
Molecule: unclassified non-coding RNA, 342 nt
Filed under: soil metagenome
Description: partial contains 5.8S ribosomal RNA, internal transcribed spacer 2, and large subunit ribosomal RNA
Rfam family: 5.8S ribosomal RNA (bases 1-120)
Source: RNAcentral